RNAcentral lists this transfer RNA (73 nucleotides) under Felis catus (domestic cat). It matches the Rfam family "tRNA". Rfam says of the family: Transfer RNA (tRNA) molecules are approximately 80 nucleotides in length. The record is from Rfam by way of RNAcentral. Lineage: Eukaryota; Metazoa; Chordata; Mammalia; Carnivora; Felidae. RNAcentral also lists the same sequence under 3 other names.
GCCUGCCGGGCUCAGUCGGUAGAGCUUGGGACUCCUGAUCUCGGGGUUGUGAGUUCAAGCCCCACGGUGGGUG